RNAcentral lists this ribosomal RNA (487 nucleotides) under uncultured bacterium. Its description in RNAcentral is "partial 16S ribosomal RNA". It matches the Rfam family "Bacterial small subunit ribosomal RNA", at positions 899 to 1397 of the family's 1533-position model. The record is from RNAcentral.
ACUCAAAUGAAUUGACGGGGGCCCGCACAAGCAGCGGAGCGUGUGGUUUAAUUCGAUGCGACACGAAGAACCUUACCUAGGUUUGACAUGCAAGUAGUAGUGAAGCGAAAGCGGAACGACCCUUCGGGGAGCUUGCACAGGUGCUGCAUGGCUGUCGUCAGCUCGUGUCGUGAGAUGUUGGGUUAAGUCCCGCAACGAGCGCAACCCUUGUCGCUAGUUACACGUGUCUAGCGAUACUGCCGGUCUUAAACCGGAGGAAGGUGGGGAUGACGUCAAGUCAGCAUGGCCUUUAUAUCUAGGGCUACACACACGCUACAAUGGGCAGUACAAUGGGCAGCAAAGGGGCGACCUGGAGCGAAUCUCAUCAAAGCUGUUCGUAGUUCGGAUUGUAGGCUGCAACUCGCCUACAUGAAGCUGGAGUUGCUAGUAAACGCAGGUCAGCUAUACUGCGUUGAAUACGUUCCCGGGCCUUGUACACACCGCCCGU